RNAcentral lists this ribosomal RNA (484 nucleotides) under uncultured bacterium. Its description in RNAcentral is "partial 16S ribosomal RNA". It matches the Rfam family "Bacterial small subunit ribosomal RNA", at positions 30 to 507 of the family's 1533-position model. The record is from RNAcentral.
AUUGAACGCUGGCGGCAGGCCUAACACAUGCAAGUCGAGCGGAUGAAGGGAGCUUGCUCCUGGAUUCAGCGGCGGACGGGUGAGUAAUGCCUAGGAAUCUGCCUGGUAGUGGGGGAUAACGUCCGGAAACGGGCGCUAAUACCGCAUACGUCCUGAGGGAGAAAGUGGGGGAUCUUCGGACCUCACGCUAUCAGAUGAGCCUAGGUCGGAUUAGCUAGUCGGUGGGAUAAAGGCCUACCAAGGCGACGAUCCGUAACUGGUCUGAGAGGAUGAUCAGUCACACUGGAACUGAGACACGGUCCAGACUCCUACGGGAGGCAGCAGUGGGGAAUAUUGGACAAUGGGCGAAAGCCCGAUCCAGCCAUGCCGCGUGUGUGAAGAAGGUCUUCGGAUUGUAAAGCACUUUAAGUUGGGAGGAAGGGCAGUAAGUUAAUACCUUGCUGUUUUGACGUUACCAACAGAAUAAGCACCGGCUAACUUCGUG